AAUGCGAUAAGUAAUGUGAAUUGCAGAAUUCAGUGAAUCAUCGAAUCUUUGAACGCACAUUGCGCCUAAUAGUAUUCUGUUAGGCAUGCCUGUUCGAGCGUCAUUUCAACCUUCAAGCCCUAUUUGCUUGACGUUGGGAGUUUACAGCUG
Molecule: ribosomal RNA, 150 nt
Filed under: Biscogniauxia sp. CBMAI1331
Lineage: Eukaryota; Fungi; Ascomycota; Sordariomycetes; Xylariales; Xylariaceae
Description: 5.8S ribosomal RNA
Rfam family: 5.8S ribosomal RNA (bases 1-103)
About the family: 5.8S ribosomal RNA (5.8S rRNA) is a component of the large subunit of the eukaryotic ribosome. It is transcribed by RNA polymerase I as part of the 45S precursor that also contains 18S and 28S rRNA.
Source: RNAcentral